Molecule: ribosomal RNA, 459 nt
Filed under: uncultured bacterium
Lineage: Bacteria
Description: partial 16S ribosomal RNA
Rfam family: Bacterial small subunit ribosomal RNA
Source: RNAcentral
AAUGGACGCUGGCGGCAGGCCUAAAACAUGCAAGUCGAACGGUAACAGGUCUUCGGACGCUGACGAGUGGCGCACGGGUGAGUAACAUGUGGGAAUAUGCCUUUUGGUACGGAACAACAGUUGGAAACGACUGCUAAUACCGUAUGGUCCCUUCGGGGUAAAGAUUUAUCGCCAAAAGAUUAGCCCGAGUUGGAUUAGCUAGUUGGUAGGGUAAUGGCCUACCAAGGCUACGAUCUAUAGCUGGACUGAGAGGAUGAUCAGCCACACUGGAACUGAGACACGGUCCAGACUCCUACGGGAGGCAGCAGUUAGGAAUAUUGGACAAUGGGCGCAAGCCUGAUCCAGCCAUGCCGCGUGAGUGAUGAAGGCCUUCGGGUUGUAAAGCUCUUUAGCCGACGAAUAUAAUGACUGUAGUCGGAAAAUAAGCCCCGGCUAACUUCGUGCCAGCAGCCGCGGUAA